This 497-nucleotide ribosomal RNA is filed under the name uncultured bacterium. RNAcentral describes it as "partial 16S ribosomal RNA". It matches the Rfam family "Bacterial small subunit ribosomal RNA", at positions 28 to 507 of the family's 1533-position model. The record is from RNAcentral.
GUUGAACGCUGGCGGCGGGCCUAAUACAUGCAAGUCGAACGGACAGAUGAAGAGCUUUGCUCCCUUGCUUACGAGUCGCGGGCGGGAGUGAAAUGUCUGUAACAUACCUUGAUGGCUGGGGAAAAUUACUGAAACCGGUAGCAAAUACCGCAAAACGUCUCAACCGCAAGGUGGAGUAGUUUAGGGCCUCUUUGCAUCCACUGAUACAUGGAGCCGGGCGGGAUUAGCUAGUGGGUAGGGUAACGGCUUACCCAGGCGACGAUUCGUAGCCGACCUGAGAGGGUGACCAGCCACACUGGAACUGAGACACGGUCCAGACUCCUACGGGAGGCAGCAGUGGGGAAUAUUGCGCAAUGGGCGCAAGCCUGAUGGAGCAACGCCGCGUGUAUGAUGAAGGUCUUCGGGUUGUAAAGCACUGUCAGCGGGGAAGAAGAAAGUAGAGAUUAUAUCUGCACGUAUUGACGUUACCCACUGAGAAAGCACCGGCUAACUCCGUG